UAGCAUAAUCAUUUGUUUUUUAAUUGAAAACUAGUAUGAAUGGUUAAACAAUGAAAAUUUUCUUAAUUUUUAAAUAAGUAAUUUGUAUUUUAAGUAAAAAUACUUAAAUAAAUAUGAGGGACGAUAAGACCCUAAAAGCUUCAUUUUUAAUGUGUUUGUAUAAAAUUUAUGUUAUAUAAAAAUACAUACAAAUAUAAAAAUUAGCUGGGGUAGUUAUUUUAAAAAAAUUAAAAUUUAUUAUUACAUUUAAUAUUAAUGGUAAAAGAUCCUUUAUAUAAGGAAAAUUGGUUAUAGUUACUUUAGGGAUAACAGCGUUAUAUUUUUGGAGAGAUCUUAUCUAUAAAAAUGAUUGCGACCUCGAUGUUGAAUUAAAAUUACUUUAUGGGGUAGAAAACAUAAAAAGUGGGUUUGUUCAACCUUUAAAUUUUUACAUGAUUU
RNAcentral lists this ribosomal RNA (438 nucleotides) under Paralicella sp. group 2D DZMB 2021_0090. RNAcentral's name for it is "partial 16S ribosomal RNA". Lineage: Eukaryota; Metazoa; Arthropoda; Malacostraca; Amphipoda; Lysianassidae. The record is from RNAcentral.